CUUCUCCCACCCGGCCUCUUCUCUCCUCCCUUCUCUUCCCUCUCUCUUCUCUCUACCGCGACCGCGCCAAGGAUCAAGCGCACGCGACGCCCAACGCCCCGACUGCCUCGACCCGCCUGCGCCCAGGAAGACCCGACGCCGCCAGCGCCCAGGAAGACCCACUUUCGGUAUUCGCGGUCUCGACCGAACCUAAAUCCUUGCCGCUGCCGCCUCCUCUUACUCGCAUGCCGCCGUCGCUCCCCUGGGCACGAACCCGCUGUCGUUCAUCCCGGCGCACGGGAUCGGGCGGUCCGGGGACGCCGGCGGUACACACCCGUCGUCGGUUUCCGCGGGUGGCGCGCCCUGAUGUCACACGACAUGUGCCCGAUCCGCUGUCGCUGUAACUGUUUCCGAGAUUUUGCUCUGUGGGCUUGCUGGAUCCUCUGUCCGCUUCCGCGGGACGUGUUCCCGAAUUUCCAUUUUUUAUUUUUCUUUACUACCUUUUUCUGUUUACUCCAUUUUUUCUCUUAAAAAAACAAGAGCUCUACUAUUUAAACAAGCGGGACUGUUGGGACCAUGCUUCGUCGUCGAAGGUCCUGCAGAAAAAGACAGCUUCGGCUGAAGCUGCUCGUACGUGACGCCGAAGGCACCAUUCAUGAAGCUUCGGUAUUACAGCAUAUCCGAAGAUGAAGGGUCAAACCGACUUAAAGAUAGAAUGACCUUUUAGUCCAUAAGGGUCUGAGUCAUUGUUAUAAACUUUUAUGAGGGGCAUGAUUGUAAUUUCUCACAGGUUGUGUCCUGUGCCUAUAAAUAGUGAACAAUAUCCCUUUACUGUUCACGGAUUCCUGUGAUUGCUAACGCAUCAUUCGGGAAUUAUUGUUUGUCAAGGCAAAGGUAUAAAUGUAUCUAAACAUUGUAUUCAAGUAUCUUAAAUUCAUAUAAUAAGAUAUGUGAAUGAUGUCAUUUAUUUUCAAUGUAUUUAUCUUUAAUGUUUCAUAUUUUACUUUACUUUGUAUUAUCUUUAUAAGUUUAAUUACGAAGGUGAAACCUUCGUAAUAUUAUGCUUGUGACCUUCGUCCGAAGUUUAUUAAAUCCUUGUGGAGAUAAUGCUUCAACGGACGAAGGGCAUUGAUAUUUAACAUUUUAUGUUGCCUUGUUCUUAAUUCAUAGCAUUUGAGAACAAGUCCCCAAUAGGGACGUACAAAUCGAGCACUGAACCUUGUGAGCCCAUGUUCAUUUCUUAUGAGACUAAAUAUGCACUGAACCUUGUGUGCCUUGUAGUAUCUGUAGUAUCUCUCUUUUAAAGAUCAAUAGGAUUCCAAGAUCGACUAUAGUAGCACCAGGCCUCCACUGGCCUAAUCAGUCUCUGACUUAGCUUGUAUUUUACCUCACAUUUCAUUGCAUGUCUCUACACCCUAAGGUCCUAACCACUAGUUUUUUCCACUUGCAGGUAUGUUCCAAUGUUUGUGGAGAUAGAGUAUGAUCCGAACUGCUAGUACACAUCUGUUCUAAUUGAAGAGCAACUGGAGGCUCUUGGAAGAGCAAUAGUUGCUGGCAAGGUAUGUCGUGGUGGUGCUGUUUUUAACUUUCCAAUUUUGAUGAAAAUGUUCAGGCUUCAUAUUUAUUAAUCAGAAACAUACACUGAAGAACCUUUUUCAUAAGUUGUUUUAUAUACCAAAGAUCUACUGUUUGAAAUAGAAGUCCCUUCCUUUUUUUCCUUUUUCUGAAGAAAGAAAUCCUUGUAUGGUGUCUGCCACCAUUUGUAAGAAAUAAACACUGUUUUGCAUUAGGUUUGGGUCAAGCAGUACUUAGAUCAGCUAACUCUCCUUGCUUGGAUCAUCUGUAAAAGCAUAUGACUACAUUUAAGCCUACAAUCACUAUAACAUUUUCGUCGAACAGUCUGGCCAUUGGAUUAUAAUCUAAAUUAUAUAAUCCAGAUUAUAAUCUACUAUAUGUAGCUGUUUGGUAGUCUAGAUUAUAUAAAUGUAGAUUAUAAUUUACUUAUUGUAAUUAUCACUUGUCUUGCAGACAGGCAAUUGAAAAUGAGAAUUGAUCUUUUUUAUGGGCAAAGUGUUGAAGAUGGCUUUGGUGAAGGAAAUGUCUUGUUAGCAUCAAGUAAGUGGCAACAUCACAACCCCUACAAGCUUGUGCCUUAAAACAAGAGGAUACAAGAAGUUGGAGUGCUUUUGUGAUGGCUUUUGCGAAUCACUUGAAGCGUUAGUACUUUUGUGAAUGAUUUUGUAAAGUGUUUGCAAAUAUGUGCAAAACAUAAUAACAUGUGUAGGUUUUGUGAAUGAUUUUGUUGUGGUGCUUGUUGAUGGUUUAUGUGAUGUGGAUCUAUCAUUGUGCAAUACUAAUAAAAUUUG
This 2345-nucleotide long non-coding RNA is filed under the name Zea mays. RNAcentral describes it as "long non-coding RNA (ZMAY_LNC002498)". The record is from RNAcentral. Lineage: Eukaryota; Viridiplantae; Streptophyta; Magnoliopsida; Poales; Poaceae.